UACAAUAGGUGCAACCAAAGAAGGCAUGAUAAAAGGAGAAGAGGAGGGAGUUGAGUAGUACCUUCUAAAGAAGUGAGGGAAAGAAAUUCUAAGAGAUUAUCAUCUUUUGAGCCAAUCUAUUAAUAGUGUCAGGGACCAAAUGAACGAUUGAACCACAUUGACAAAAAAAUAAUGGAGAGUUAAUUAAAAAUUUUUGAUGAUCGAACCACAUUGACAUUAAAAAAAAUUGAGGGUCAAUUGAAAAUUUUUAAACUAUUCAAGUCUAAGUAUUUCUCAUCAUGGUUAAAAGGAUGCGACUAUAUUUUUUUCUUAUAUGGGA
RNAcentral lists this long non-coding RNA (319 nucleotides) under Elaeis guineensis (African oil palm). RNAcentral's name for it is "long non-coding RNA (EGUI_LNC014272)". The record is from RNAcentral. Lineage: Eukaryota; Viridiplantae; Streptophyta; Magnoliopsida; Arecales; Arecaceae.